GUACGAGCGAGUCAUCAUAUAGACCACAGUAUGGUGCAGGACAGAAAGUCGCUUCAUGCAAGCUAAAGCAUCGUCCACGACUUAAAACCUCUCUGCUAUAUUUAUACUAGGUUCACCAUACACUUUGCAGACAGUCAUGGACAUGCUUCUGACGGAGUUCCACGAAUAUCAGACCUCAUGGGAUGUCCCCUAAAGGAUUAGGUGUCAUAUCUUCACAAGGAUAAAUGUCUUGGAAGACUGGCAGACCGCAUCCCUGGCAGAUGGUCAUGAAGCAAGCACGUUUCCACUGAAAGAGUGUGCUGCUUGCCACAAGCUGUUUUUGAAUACAAGGAUGUUGGUGAAGUAUUCUCUCAGUAUUGCAAUGUGCUGUACAGCAAUCAAGGGUGUUGGCGUAAAGGCUGCUCGGAGUGUUGCAGCGUGUGCUGUACAGCAAGCAUCAAGGUAUAUGGGACUGUCCAGAGGGAUGUUGAGACUGAACCCACUACCAACUGAUUAAACUUUUUUACUCAA
Alosa sapidissima (American shad) is the source of this 510-nucleotide long non-coding RNA. RefSeq lists it as uncharacterized. The record is from RefSeq and is a predicted model, not a curated record. The transcript is spliced from 8 exons. NCBI's taxonomy places the organism in Eukaryota, Metazoa, Chordata, Actinopteri, Clupeiformes, Clupeidae.